This 4256-nucleotide long non-coding RNA is filed under the name Homo sapiens (human). Its description in RNAcentral is "non-protein coding TMEM132D-AS1:18". Lineage: Eukaryota; Metazoa; Chordata; Mammalia; Primates; Hominidae. The record is from RNAcentral.
ACGAGAUCUGAUGGGUUUAUCCGGUGUUUCUGCUUUUGCUUCCUCCUCAUUUUUCUCUUGCUGCCACCACGUGAGAAGUGCCUUUCGCCUCCCGCCAUGAUUCUGAGGCCUCCCUAGCCAUGGGGACCUGUAAGUCCAAUGAAACCUCUUUUUGUUCCCCGUUUUGGGUAUGUCUUUAUCAGCAGCGUGAAAACGGACUAAUACACCCUCUCCCUACCAGCGGGUGUAGUCUGAUGAGGUCUAUGCGGCAGCGUUGGGUGGCAGCCAUGGAGGAAUGCUGUUGAAAUGUCCCUUCUGUCCUCAGGGGCCUUCAGAAGCCACCUGGUCAGUGUCCGAGCAUGGCCAAGGUGCAGGGUGGCUGCUGGGACUCCAUGCAAGGCUCCUCUAUGGGCAACCUCUGCGGCAGCAUUUCCUGCUUGGCUGCCCAAGGAUUCCCAGUGCUUCCUGCAGUCAGGCACUUCCUGCCCGGUUCUCCCUCCUUCCCAUCCUCCUUUCCCAGGGACCAGACCUGCAUCGCAUCCUGAAGCUCAGCCUGCCUACUCCUUCUCCAUCUUUUCUUUAUCCUUCACAACUGCAGUCCUCAAUUAAUCUCUGGUGCACUUAACUCUGUCUGCUUCCUGAAGAUGCUCAUAGAUUCUGAGGAUUCCCCAUGUGCUGUGAUGUGAGAGUUAGGGGCGAGGGAGGAAAACAGCCAGCUCCACUACCUGUCUACCCUCCCUCCCGACCAUUGAGAAAGUUCCCUGUUAGAGAUUCAUUCCUUUGGACCAUGAAGCCUUUUGAUUCCUAUUAACCUUGAGUGAGUCACGCUUAAGCCUUUUAAAAAAUUUUCUGAGUUUUUGUUUGUGAAAUAUAACAUAUAUACCAAUGAACAUGAGAUAUAUAAAUGCGUUGUAUGAAUAAUUAGAAAGCAAACUAUAUUCCAGCAAGCGAAAACAUAACACACUGCCCCAGAAGCACCCACAAUCCACGAGUAAGCACCUCCCUCCCCCUGAGGUGCAUAAGUAAGGAGAGGAGGGGCAGAGGAGCUGCCAGGGGAAGGACCAAGGAUGUGCUCUAUAGGUCAGCCCCCUGGCUCUGCCUCUCCUUGUUGGCAGAGAUCAGCCUGAGGGCCGCGCCGCACACCACAGGCCCAUGACCCUCCAUCGGAGUCACCGGGCGCUGGCUGAACAAGCACCUUCAGUGAGCUCUGGAUUACAACACAGCUAUGAAAAGAAGCCAGCCGGUGCUCUCCCUACCCAUAUGGAGAGAUUGCCAGGCAGAUUCCAAAGUGGAAAAGUCAGAGGCAAUACAGGAGGGCCUGUGUGCCCAGCUCCCACUGUGAAAACCAACCCAGCUGAUGGGGAUUCUUCUCUAUUGCUUUGUAGGUCGUCGCUGCCCUCAGCCUCCAGAUGCAGCCCCCCUGCCACCUUCAGGACCCCUGGCUCUCCCCUGGACUCAGUAGCGAAAGGGUUUAUGUGCUCGGAGGGAGACCUUCAGGAAUCUGUGCAUAGAAUGCCAUAGUGCAGAGGAAAGUAAGACUAUGCAGUUGUAUUUGACUUAAAACCUCCGGAAAGAUAAAUAGGGAAGCAACAAAACCUACAGGGAACAGGGGAGGAAGAGGGAUGGGGCUGCAAGCCAGGGGAUGCCUGCAGCCACCAGGAGAUGGGGGGAGGCAGGGAGGAUCCUUUCCCAGAGCCUCUGGAAGGAGUAUGGCCCUGCCUACACCUUGAUUUGGAUUUCUGGCCUCUGAAACUGUGAGAGAACAACUGUCUGCUGUGGAAAGUAACCUAGGUUUGUGGGAAUUCGUUACAGCAGCCCCAGAAAAUGGAACAGCUGCUAAGUGAGACUCCUCAGCCAGGCCAGAGAAUGUGCAUUCUGACGGACUGCUUCUCAUUUGCACUGAUCACUGUGAGUGUCUGAUGGGUGGGCAUCCGGCGCCCAGAGAAGGAGUUGCUCUAUUAUCCUGGCACUCCAUAAAGAACAGGUAGAAAUAAGCGCUUCUUACCAAGAUGAAAUCCACCCAUCAUUUCUGAAUGGCUCAGUUUUGAUUUCAUCUCCCAAGCUUGCUGCCACCACGUGAGAAGUGCCUUUCGCCUCCCGCCAUGAUUCUGAGGCCUCCCUAGCCAUGGGGACCUGUAAGUCCAAUGAAACCUCUUUUUGUUCCCCGUUUUGGGUAUGUCUUUAUCAGCAGCGUGAAAACGGACUAAUACACCCUCUCCCUACCAGCGGGUGUAGUCUGAUGAGGUCUAUGCGGCAGCGUUGGGUGGCAGCCAUGGAGGAAUGCUGUUGAAAUGUCCCUUCUGUCCUCAGGGGCCUUCAGAAGCCACCUGGUCAGUGUCCGAGCAUGGCCAAGGUGCAGGGUGGCUGCUGGGACUCCAUGCAAGGCUCCUCUAUGGGCAACCUCUGCGGCAGCAUUUCCUGCUUGGCUGCCCAAGGAUUCCCAGUGCUUCCUGCAGUCAGGCACUUCCUGCCCGGUUCUCCCUCCUUCCCAUCCUCCUUUCCCAGGGACCAGACCUGCAUCGCAUCCUGAAGCUCAGCCUGCCUACUCCUUCUCCAUCUUUUCUUUAUCCUUCACAACUGCAGUCCUCAAUUAAUCUCUGGUGCACUUAACUCUGUCUGCUUCCUGAAGAUGCUCAUAGAUUCUGAGGAUUCCCCAUGUGCUGUGAUGUGAGAGUUAGGGGCGAGGGAGGAAAACAGCCAGCUCCACUACCUGUCUACCCUCCCUCCCGACCAUUGAGAAAGUUCCCUGUUAGAGAUUCAUUCCUUUGGACCAUGAAGCCUUUUGAUUCCUAUUAACCUUGAGUGAGUCACGCUUAAGCCUUUUAAAAAAUUUUCUGAGUUUUUGUUUGUGAAAUAUAACAUAUAUACCAAUGAACAUGAGAUAUAUAAAUGCGUUGUAUGAAUAAUUAGAAAGCAAACUAUAUUCCAGCAAGCGAAAACAUAACACACUGCCCCAGAAGCACCCACAAUCCACGAGUAAGCACCUCCCUCCCCCUGAGGUGCAUAAGUAAGGAGAGGAGGGGCAGAGGAGCUGCCAGGGGAAGGACCAAGGAUGUGCUCUAUAGGUCAGCCCCCUGGCUCUGCCUCUCCUUGUUGGCAGAGAUCAGCCUGAGGGCCGCGCCGCACACCACAGGCCCAUGACCCUCCAUCGGAGUCACCGGGCGCUGGCUGAACAAGCACCUUCAGUGAGCUCUGGAUUACAACACAGCUAUGAAAAGAAGCCAGCCGGUGCUCUCCCUACCCAUAUGGAGAGAUUGCCAGGCAGAUUCCAAAGUGGAAAAGUCAGAGGCAAUACAGGAGGGCCUGUGUGCCCAGCUCCCACUGUGAAAACCAACCCAGCUGAUGGGGAUUCUUCUCUAUUGCUUUGUAGGUCGUCGCUGCCCUCAGCCUCCAGAUGCAGCCCCCCUGCCACCUUCAGGACCCCUGGCUCUCCCCUGGACUCAGUAGCGAAAGGGUUUAUGUGCUCGGAGGGAGACCUUCAGGAAUCUGUGCAUAGAAUGCCAUAGUGCAGAGGAAAGUAAGACUAUGCAGUUGUAUUUGACUUAAAACCUCCGGAAAGAUAAAUAGGGAAGCAACAAAACCUACAGGGAACAGGGGAGGAAGAGGGAUGGGGCUGCAAGCCAGGGGAUGCCUGCAGCCACCAGGAGAUGGGGGGAGGCAGGGAGGAUCCUUUCCCAGAGCCUCUGGAAGGAGUAUGGCCCUGCCUACACCUUGAUUUGGAUUUCUGGCCUCUGAAACUGUGAGAGAACAACUGUCUGCUGUGGAAAGUAACCUAGGUUUGUGGGAAUUCGUUACAGCAGCCCCAGAAAAUGGAACAGCUGCUAAGUGAGACUCCUCAGCCAGGCCAGAGAAUGUGCAUUCUGACGGACUGCUUCUCAUUUGCACUGAUCACUGUGAGUGUCUGAUGGGUGGGCAUCCGGCGCCCAGAGAAGGAGUUGCUCUAUUAUCCUGGCACUCCAUAAAGAACAGGUAGAAAUAAGCGCUUCUUACCAAGAUGAAAUCCACCCAUCAUUUCUGAAUGGCUCAGUUUUGAUUUCAUCUCCCAAGGUCUUCUUUCUGAAACCAGCCCAACUUUUCUCCCAGAGAGUAUCAUGGAACUGAACUUUCAAGAUCAUGGCAUCUGGACAUCGAGAAAACAGAACCCUCAUCUGGCCACCUGCUGCUUUUUGACCAAUUCCCAUAUAAACCGCUAACUUCAGUCAGUUGGAGGGAUGGAUUUGAGAUUUGCCUUCUGUCUCUCAGGUGAUGUCACCAGCAAUAAAGCCUUCUUCCCUGGC